CGAGUCAGCCAAGAUGAUCGCUGCCUGUGACGAAAAUGAUCAGGGGGAGGAAAGUCCGGGCUCCAUAGGGCAGGGUGCCAGCUAACGGCUGGGGGGCGCGAGCCCACGACAAGUGCAGCAGAGAGGAGACCGCCAAUCUUCGGAUUGGUAAGGGUGAAAGGGUGCGGUAAGAGCGCACCGGGCCACUAGUAAUAGUUGGUUGCAAGGUAAACUCCACCCGGAGCAAGACCAAAUAGGGUUCUAUCAUUUUAAAUAAUGAACGCGUGGCCCACGUGAGAACCGGGUAGGUUGCUUGAGCCAUAGAGCGAUUUAUGGCCUAGACGAAUGAUUAUCACUUUCUUCGGAAAGGACAAAACCCGGCUUAUAGGCUGACUCACUCA
Pseudoalteromonas porphyrae is the source of this 380-nucleotide non-coding RNA. The record is from Rfam. NCBI's taxonomy places the organism in Bacteria, Pseudomonadati, Pseudomonadota, Gammaproteobacteria, Alteromonadales, Pseudoalteromonadaceae.